AAUAUAUUAAGUUUGCCACGAAGUUUAUAACAUCUAAAAGGAAGCGUGCGUCAGAGACCGUAUAAAGUAUAUACAGCGUUUACCAAUAGAGAUGACAUGAUUUUGACAGCUCGUGGUGGCCAUGUUUGUUUGUGGAUUUGUAUCAAGUUAUGUCAGUGUAAUCAGUAAGGUUUGCCAUUUCAUUAUGUAAUGUUUCACUUUGGUACAAUACUUGGAAAUUGUUCAAAAUUAUUACGCAAAAUCACGUUCAUCGAAAAAUCAUCUUCUCAGAUCAAGCCCAUUUCUGACUUAAUGGCUUCGCCAACAAACAAAAUUGCAGGAAACCAUUAAAAGCGAGCUAUAUAUCGGUAACGUUGUUGACCGACUUUUUCCCCCGUAAUUGAUGAAAUCGACGCGGACGAUCUCUAAUUUCAACAAGACGGUAUGCCUUCUCAUGUGUUUCGUUGUAACAUGGACACAUUGCGUGCAAAAUUUGGCGACGGCUUAAGCUACUUAAAAACACAGACGUAGAACGUCCUGGGCGAUGAAGAUUGUUGCCCAACAAAGGAGAGCUUGCAGAAGUUUUGGGUGUCACUCAAACCGCCAUUUCAAAACGUUGAAAAACAGCUGUUUAAAUUGGGUUCAAUAGGAAAUGAAGCAAAGAGAUGUUGAAAGACAAUUGAUGUUUUAACGCUAGACCAACCGCUAGGUCAACCAGCCAAAACAACGGCAAAGCCGAAUAUCCAUGAUGCCAAGGAAAUUAUGAGCUUCUGAAAUCGGGUACAACUAUUAAUAAGGAAAGCUACCAACGACAAAUGAUCAAACUCAAGCGAGCGAUUGGCGAAAAAUGCCCUGAAUUCGGCACUAGAUGCGAGGCAAUAAUUUUUCAUCACGCUUGGUUGAAAAGCUAUUUAGAGAAAAGCGUCUGGGAAAGUUUGCCUCAUCCGCCUUAUAGACCAGAACUUGUCUCUUCUGAGUACCAUUUCUUCCGGUCUUUCUCACUGGAAUACGGUUCACAUCACAACAGGGAUCAAAAAUUGGUUUAAUUCAUUCUUGGCCGCCGAGGUGGCGCAAUUCUUUUGGCAGAUACUAUAACUUUAGAUGGGAAUACUUUGAACAAUACUAUAUAUAGUACAUUUUUUCGAUGAAUAUACAUAGUUAUAGACCCAAUGUAAGGGUUUCGGAUUGUAAAAACAUACAAGUUCCUGGAAACAAAUUCCAUUGUUUUCAAUAAUGUAAAGCCAAUAAAACGCUAAAUUAACAAACAAGGCAACGAAGCGUAACGAAAAUUUGAGAAACAAAUAAAAAGAAGAGAACACAGACUGCCUAACCGAUCUGGUACGCAAAGCUAGCAUUAAUUGUUCAGGAGUGGCCGAGCCGCUAACACUUUGACAGCGCUUGUAAGCGUGUAUGUAACAUAGGCAAUAAUAUGCAUACACAUAUGUACAAUAACAAUAAAAUGUCUGGUGAUCCAAUGCAUCCAUAGUCCACUGCGAAUAUCAACUCUGGCUGUAACUUUUACACGCCAGUUGAACGUACUGUUUAUGUUUACUUACACGUACAAAUAUACAUAGAUACAUUUGUAUCUAACAUACACAUACUUAUGUAUAAUGUAAGUAUAUUGAUACGAGACCUUCAGACCAUUUAAAGCACAUACCCAUUUAACUUCGUAAACAUGGAAAAUGUAUAAAUUGAUGCAAGUGCCUGUGUGUAUUUAUAGGGUAUAUGUGAAAAGUUUUAUUACUAUUUGUUUGUUUGUUUGAGGCGCAACAGUCAAAAUAGAUGUUUUAAGAAACCACAAAAGAAAGAUAAUAGAUGUUUAGAUAAUUGAGCAUUGGAGCGUGAUCUGAAUGCUAAAGAAUUCGUUUGAAAAUUUUCGUACUUAGAAAACAGACAAAUUUCAACACUUGACACUCAAAACAGCCGGUACGAAAUUUUGCUUUAUAGCUUUGUACGUACCUAGUUGUUCUUAGCCCAUCUACAAUAUAAUUAAAAGCAACAAAUCUCGUUAAUUUUGGUUGGAGCGAAGCCAUAAUACCUUUCACAGGUGCAU
Molecule: non-coding RNA, 2032 nt
Organism: Bactrocera oleae (olive fruit fly)
Lineage: Eukaryota; Metazoa; Arthropoda; Insecta; Diptera; Tephritidae
Source: RefSeq, a predicted model, not a curated record